This 439-nucleotide ribosomal RNA is filed under the name uncultured bacterium. RNAcentral describes it as "partial 16S ribosomal RNA". It matches the Rfam family "Bacterial small subunit ribosomal RNA", at positions 339 to 795 of the family's 1533-position model. The record is from RNAcentral.
CUACGGGGCGCAGCAGUGGGGAAUAUUGCACAAUGGAGGAAACUCUGAUGCAGCAACGCCGCGUGGAGGAUGACACUUUUCGGAGCGUAAACUCCUUUUAUAUGUCAAGAAAAUGACGGUAUCAUAUGAAUAAGCGCCGGCUAACUCCGUGCCAGCAGCCGCGGUAAUACGGAGGGCGCAAGCGUUACUCGGAAUCACUGGGCGUAAAGAGCGUGUAGGCGGGUAGUUAAGUUGGAAGUGAAAUCCUAUGGCUCAACCAUAGAACUGCUUCCAAAACUGAUUACCUAGAAUAUGGGAGAGGUAGAUGGAAUUUCUGGUGUAGGGGUAAAAUCCGUAGAGAUCAGAAGGAAUACCGAUUGCGAAGGCGAUCUACUGGAACAUUAUUGACGCUGAGACGCGAAAGCGUGGGGAGCAAACAGGAUUAGAUACCCUCGUAGUC